This 91-nucleotide small nucleolar RNA is filed under the name Cervus hanglu yarkandensis (Yarkand deer). RNAcentral describes it as "Small nucleolar RNA SNORA70 (ENSCHYG00000005192.1)". It matches the Rfam family "Small nucleolar RNA SNORA70", at positions 45 to 135 of the family's 135-position model. Rfam says of the family: snoRNA U70 seems to be exclusive to mammals and is a member of the H/ACA class of snoRNA which contain H (ANANNA) and ACA box motifs. Lineage: Eukaryota; Metazoa; Chordata; Mammalia; Artiodactyla; Cervidae. The record is from Rfam by way of RNAcentral.
CUGUGUGCAAUGGCUGCAAACAGCAGCCUCCUUGGUAGUGUAUGCAACCUGUUGCCUGUACAGGGAGCCCUAAGGGACCUUGGAGACAACU